Molecule: long non-coding RNA, 166 nt
Organism: Sebastes umbrosus (honeycomb rockfish)
Lineage: Eukaryota; Metazoa; Chordata; Actinopteri; Perciformes; Sebastidae
Exons: 3
Source: RefSeq, a predicted model, not a curated record
GAGCGACACGUGACAUUAAGUAUUAAAUGUAUAGCAGAGAUCGGGGUUCAUUCUCUGCGAACUGACAACCGUGUUGCAUGGUAUCAGGGACACAUUGAUGAAUCCAGAACUUCUGUAAUAACUCUGUGCAACUUUGAUGAGUAUAUCUUCGGAAUAAAUUGAUACU